RNAcentral lists this long non-coding RNA (490 nucleotides) under Equus caballus (horse). Its description in RNAcentral is "lncRNA (ENSECAG00000044550.1)". Lineage: Eukaryota; Metazoa; Chordata; Mammalia; Perissodactyla; Equidae. The record is from RNAcentral.
GGAAAGUCUGGGAGAAAUUUUAACAGUAGUAUAAUGGUGUCCUUCCUCAAGGAGACCUGGUCUCCCCUGAAUUUAAGGGGUUCUAGGUCUGUAAACUGUCGCAAGUCAGAGAAUUGAUUGUGACAUUAAAAGGAAUGAACAGGGGGCCAGCCCCAAGACCAUAAGGGGUUGUGCUUUGCUGUGAGGAACAUAAACACGUACCUGAUUUAUCUUAACAUGGAGAGAUUCAUCAGUCACAUGAAACAACUAAUCCUAGGAGAGACAGGAAAAGACUGAUACAGUAGCUCAGCAGCGUUAUCAAGGACUUACCCUUUUCAGGAUUCCAUUGCUUCCAGUCUCAAUGUCUAGUUCUUCACCCUGGGUCUUGUUGAGUCACAUUGCAAUAAAGCAGUGGUAAGUAGAGACUUCUGUCUUUUUGCAGUCUGGAGUAAGAUGACAGUGUGAAGGACCAAGGUCAAAAGCUUUUUCCUUAUGCAGCUUUGCCUUCUCC